UCAGUUUAAUUCAAUAUACAUGUAUGUGAAUUUUGUGCUCAUAAUUAAACAUAUUAAACAUAAUAAAUAACUAAUCUCGAAAAUUCAAACAUCCGCAAUACAAUUACAAAGUUUAAAACACGCUGAUAAAAAACUUCUUAAAUGAAUCCUGUAUCCGUAAAGGGUCAAUGUUUUAUUCUAGAAGCCCACAUCCGCUUAAUCGUCUAUCCAAAAUUUUUGGAACGGGUUAAGCUUUAAGCAGUUAAACUUGCUCAUAAACUAAAAAUUUAUCUCUCUCAUAUAAACGCUUUGGAUUUUGGUAUUAUUGUGAGAUGCCAGAGUCACUUAAGCUUGUUUAAUCAAAUUAUUGCUACGCUUUGUCGUAAGGGAAUAUGUUCGAUGGAUGAUUGCUACUCCCAACAUUUAUCCAAUAUGUUUUAUCUCUUCUGAUUUACUCAUGCGAUAUUGCAAGAUAAUCGGCCUAUAUUCUGUAAGCAUAUUACAUGCUUCGUUAUAGCCGAUUCUUACCGGUGAUGUUUCAGAUCUUCAUGGGCUUCUAGGCCGUAGUUGUAGCGAUACAUUGUCAACUUGUUCCGUCGGGACAUAAUGGAAAUCAAUGAUGAGGCUGGCUCAAAACUAUGUUUUUUUAAAUAGAAAAGUGUAUAAUUUUCC
Non-coding RNA from Schizosaccharomyces pombe (fission yeast), 651 nucleotides. The record is from the annotation of a GenBank genome assembly. NCBI's taxonomy places the organism in Eukaryota, Fungi, Ascomycota, Schizosaccharomycetes, Schizosaccharomycetales, Schizosaccharomycetaceae.